GCAUAACGCGAAGAACCUUACCUAGGCUUGACAUGCAUCUCUAAGCACGUGAAAGCGUGUGACCCUUCGGGGAAUUUGCACAGGUGCUGCAUGGCCGUCGUCAGCUCGUGUCGUGAGAUGUUGGGUUAAGUCCCGCAACGAGCGCAACCCUUGUGACUAGUUGCCAGCACGUCAUGGUGGGAACUCUAGUCAGACUGCCCAGAUCAACUGGGAGGAAGGUGGGGACGACGUCAGGUCAGUAUGGCCCUUACGCCUAGGGCUGCACACGUACUACAAUGCCCAGCACAAUGAGAACCGAAACCGCGAGGUGGAGGAAAUCUAAAAAACUGGGCCCAGUUCGGAUUGGAGGCUGCAACUCGCCUCCAUGAAGUUGGAAUCGCUAGUAAUGGCGCAUCAUCUACGGCGCCGUGAAUACGUUCCCGGGUCUUGUACACACCG
RNAcentral lists this ribosomal RNA (438 nucleotides) under uncultured bacterium. RNAcentral describes it as "bacterial SSU rRNA". It matches the Rfam family "Bacterial small subunit ribosomal RNA", at positions 954 to 1392 of the family's 1533-position model. The record is from RNAcentral.